GCCUCCUCGGCCUCACCGCCGCCCGGGCAGGCCGCCAUCCUCCGCCAGCAGCACGGGUCAGGUACAGGACCUAUGUAUGCUACAGACCCACUCCUAUAUAUGUCCCUGUUAAUACUGCAUAAGCUUGUACAUUUAUUAGUAAACCACUGACGGACUACUUCCUCCACUCCUCCCCAGCCAAACAAAAAGGAACCUAUUUAAAAACAGAACAAACCCGUGACAAAAAAAUACCUAGUUUUAAAGAUGGACAGAAAGAGACUGAAAGAAGCAUGAUCAAUUCUACGUGGGGGGAAAAGCAUAUUUUUGGGGAUGCCACAGAAAGUAAACCACAUAGAAUAACGCAUCUAGUUUCCAGACUCUACGGUGUAAAGCCCUGCUCUGUGCAUGGCACUUAUGAUUUCUCUAUUUUAAUGUAAUAUUUUUUUUCUUUUCUAAACCUUUCCUCUGACUCUUCAUUUUGCACGAACUGUUGAGCAGUUAUCUUUAUGACAAUAUGUAAAGAUGUUGGGUCAAAGCCCUUCCUAAGAAAGGAAAUAUUUUUAGUAGAUGAUUGUGUUUAGGUUUUUUGGAUUUCCUUUUUCUUUUUUAAUUAAAUUAUUUCUUUUGGAGACAUUUUAAUUAAAAAGGUACAUCUUACCAUAAUUAAUAUUCACUGUCAAUAAUAUUUAUUUUUAAAUGAAGAUUGGAAACAAGGUAAGACAUUUGUUUAUAAACUGUAUUGUAUAUUGCUGAAUAACAGUUGAAUAAAAAGAUUUUGAAAUAAAGUUUUUACAGA
Leptosomus discolor (cuckoo roller) is the source of this 775-nucleotide non-coding RNA. NCBI's taxonomy places the organism in Eukaryota, Metazoa, Chordata, Aves, Leptosomiformes, Leptosomidae. The record is from RefSeq and is a predicted model, not a curated record.